Cryptotermes secundus is the source of this 337-nucleotide long non-coding RNA. RefSeq lists it as uncharacterized. NCBI's taxonomy places the organism in Eukaryota, Metazoa, Arthropoda, Insecta, Blattodea, Kalotermitidae. The record is from RefSeq and is a predicted model, not a curated record. The transcript has 3 exons.
GAACCAGUAACGCAGAUAGAAUGCUCUAAAUGUGUGGUAGAGUGCAACUGGAUUGUCAUAGAGUGCAGUGCGUUCAGCUUCCAAUGUUGGAUGGUUCCCAACAGCUGAUGCCAUGUAAGGGUUCACCCCAAGCAAUGGCUCUCCACGAGACAGUUCCACAUAAAGACAACGCUGAAAUCAGCACCGUUCUUUUGGAUUCAUUCUUAUGAGACAUAACAAUCAGCAACAUGCGACUAAAACAAUCACUUCUACAAUAGAACUCUGAGAAUGUGAAUAACUCCAGGUGCUCCUCCCCAUGGUUGGGAGCUCAAAUUAAGUUGUAGAAUUUCAGAAUGCA